This 253-nucleotide ribosomal RNA is filed under the name uncultured bacterium. RNAcentral describes it as "partial 16S ribosomal RNA". It matches the Rfam family "Bacterial small subunit ribosomal RNA", at positions 524 to 776 of the family's 1533-position model. The record is from RNAcentral.
UACGUAGGGGGCUAGCGUUGUCCGGAUUUAUUGGGCGUAAAGAGCGUGUAGGCGGCCAGAUAGGUCUGCUGUGAAAACUCGAGGCUCAACCUCGAGCUGUCGGCGGAAACCAUUUGGCUAGAGUCCGGAAGAGGAGAGUGGAAUUCCUGGUGUAGCGGUGAAAUGCGCAGAUAUCAGGAAGAACACCUAUGGCGAAGGCAGCUCUCUGGGACGGUACUGACGCUGAGGCGCGAAAGCGUGGGGAGCGAACAGG